Molecule: small nuclear RNA, 312 nt
Filed under: Castor canadensis (American beaver)
Lineage: Eukaryota; Metazoa; Chordata; Mammalia; Rodentia; Castoridae
Description: 7SK RNA (ENSCCNG00000001171.1)
Rfam family: 7SK RNA
About the family: 7SK was discovered as an abundant small nuclear RNA in the mid-70s but a possible function has only recently been suggested.
Source: RNAcentral
UGAUGUGAGGGCGAUCUGGCUGCAACAUCUAUCACCCCAUUGAUUGCCAGGGUUGAUUUGGCUGAUCUGGCUAGCUAGGUGGGUGUCCCCUUCCUCCCUCACUGUUCCACGUGCAUCCCUCCCAAAGCUGCAUGCUCAGUCAAAGAAAUGACUAUACCAAUAGAGGAGAACCAUUCUUAGGUCAAGGGUAUAGAAGUAGCUGUGCUCCCUUGCUAGAACCUCAAACAAGUUCUUGAGAUCCAAAUAGCAGUACAAGACUCCAGGAAAACCUUUCUUGUACUUUCCACAGGACUUUGCUGCAUGCAAAAGAAU